AUAUUUCGAACCGCAUGGUUCGAUAGUGAAAGAUGGUUUUGCUAUCACUUAUAGAUGGACCCGCGCCGUAUUAGCUAGUUGGUAAGGUAACGGCUUACCAAGGCGACGAUACGUAGCCGACCUGAGAGGGUGAUCGGCCACACUGGAACUGAGACACGGUCCAGACUCCUACGGGAGGCAGCAGUAGGGAAUCUUCCGCAAUGGGCGAAAGCCUGACGGAGCAACGCCGCGUGAGUGAUGAAGGUCUUCGGAUCGUAAAACUCUGUUAUUAGGGAAGAACAUACGUGUAAGUAACUGUGCACGUCUUGACGGUACCUAAUCAGAAAGCCACGGCUAACUACGUGCCAGCAGCCGCGGUAAUACGUAGGUGGCAAGCGUUAUCCGGAAUUAUUGGGCGUAAAGCGCGCGUAGGCGGUUUUUUAAGUCUGAUGUGAAAGCCCACGGCUCAACCGUGGAGGGUCAUUGGAAACUGGAAAACUUGAGUGCAGAAGAAGAAAGUGGAAUUCCAUGUGUAGCGGUGAAAUGCGCAGAGAUAUGGAGGAACACCAGUGGCGAAAGCGACUUUCUGGUCUGUAACUGACGCUUAUGUGCGAAAGCGUGGGGAUCAAACAGGAUUAGAUACCCUGGUAGUCCACGCCGUAAACGAUGAGUGCUAAAUGUUAAGGGGUUUCCCCCCCUUAAUGCUGCAGCUAACGCAUUAAACACUCCCCCCGGGGAGUACGACCGCAAGGUUGAGACUCACAGGAAUUGACGGGGACCCCCACAAACGGUGGAGCAUGUGGUUUAUUUCUAAGCAACGCGGAAAACUUACCAAAUCUUGACAUCCUCUGCCACUCUCCAGAUAGAGCUUUCUCCUUCCGGGGAGAGAUAACAGGUGGUGCAUGGUUGUCGUCACCUCCU
This 900-nucleotide ribosomal RNA is filed under the name Staphylococcus haemolyticus. RNAcentral's name for it is "bacterial SSU rRNA". It matches the Rfam family "Bacterial small subunit ribosomal RNA", at positions 173 to 1063 of the family's 1533-position model. Lineage: Bacteria; Bacillati; Bacillota; Bacilli; Caryophanales; Staphylococcaceae. The record is from RNAcentral.